GAUGAACGCUGGCGGCGUGCCUAAUACAUGCAAGUCGAGCGAACAGACGAGGAGCUCGCUCCUCUGACGUUAGCGGCGGACGGGUGAGUAACACGUGGAUAACCUACCUAUAAGACUGGGAUAACUUCGGGAAACCGGAGCUAAUACCGGAUAAUAUAUUGAACCGCAUGGUUCAAUAGUGAAAGACGGUUUUGCUGUCACUUAUAGAUGGAUCCGCGCCGCAUUAGCUAGUUGGUAAGGUAACGGCUUACCAAGGCAACGAUGCGUAGCCGACCUGAGAGGGUGGUCGGCCACACUGGAACUGAGACACGGUCCAGACUCCUACGGGAGGCAGCAGUAGGGAAUCUUCCGCAAUGGGCGAAAGCCUGACGGAGCAACGCCGCGUGAGUGAUGAAGGUCUUCGGAUCGUAAAACUCUGUUAUUAGGGAAGAACAAAUGUGUAAGUAACUAUGCACGUCUUGACGGUACCUAAUCAGAAAGCCACGGCUAACUACGUG
This 497-nucleotide ribosomal RNA is filed under the name uncultured bacterium. RNAcentral's name for it is "partial 16S ribosomal RNA". It matches the Rfam family "Bacterial small subunit ribosomal RNA", at positions 28 to 507 of the family's 1533-position model. The record is from RNAcentral.